UAUUAAAAUUUCAUCAAUUUCAAUUGUUAAAAACUGGUGUAGUUGACGAAAUAAUCAGAUAGUUACACGAAGUGUGCAACGUGUACUUCAUGCCAAUGAACAAUGAUCAAUUUUUAACAAUAGAAAUGGAUGAAAUUUUAACA
Gossypium arboreum is the source of this 143-nucleotide microRNA precursor. It matches the Rfam family "MIR7502 microRNA precursor family". Lineage: Eukaryota; Viridiplantae; Streptophyta; Magnoliopsida; Malvales; Malvaceae. The record is from Rfam.